This is an RNA transcript of Salvelinus namaycush (lake trout), 3083 nucleotides long. It is a transcript of the gene named patatin-like phospholipase domain-containing protein 2, with no coding region annotated. The record is from RefSeq and is a predicted model, not a curated record. NCBI's taxonomy places the organism in Eukaryota, Metazoa, Chordata, Actinopteri, Salmoniformes, Salmonidae. The transcript has 2 exons.
GAAAAAAUACUUUAUAUCGGAGUUGUGCCUGUUGUUCACACGCUUAUCUGCCCUCUCAUUUGCUACAAUGGUGCGACCUGAUCUUUCCCCCUCGGUUUUCCUACCUGAAAAUAGGCGAUACCGUAAAGUGUUGUGUAUUCGCGAACCAAAUUCAGGAGCCUGAAGCGCGGGUGGCUUGACUGCGUAUUGCGAAUCUCGGCUCUCCUGACCGCAGUGGACGAUAUAGGCUACUCAAAUCGGUUAAUAAGGUUCGAGUUGGCAUAGUAAUAGCAGGCAGGUUAAACAAAUAUACAGAUUAUGAUAUAAUAGAUAUUAAUCGAAUGCAUCUCUCAUUUAUUUCCAAUGGGGCGUGGCUCCACCUAAAAUAAGACUCUUGCCUCCUUAUGCAGAUUGGCCAGACCUGCCCUGUUCUUGAACCGGGUAGUUCAGCGCUCCGGCGAUUCUCAAUAGAUGACUCUCGGUCUCUUCGUACAUUGCACAAGGAGUAGACUGGCUAGUGUACGCUAGUUUGAGCCGUCCUCUAUUCCAAUAUCUUUCGGAGCUGUUGACAUUCAACCAACACUGAAGGGAACUUGAUAAAAAAGUUAACAUUUUGGAGUGAUCAUAACGAGCGCAUUUACCCAACCGUCUAGGUCCUCGCCAAGGACUGUCCACCCGGGAUGUUCGACCUAACGAAGGAAUGGAUUCUGUCGUUCGCCGGCUGCGGGUUCCUGGGGAUCUAUCACAUCGGAGUGGCCAGCUGCCUGUUGGAACAAGCGCCUUACCUCAUCAAAGGAGCCGCCAAGAUCUACGGGGCUUCAGCUGGUUCCCUCUCCGCCUCGGUGCUCGCCAGCCAGGCAUCCAUAGCCGAGGAAGAAGUGCCGUCUGGUACAUCAUGGGUGAGUUUGGGUCCCAGGUGCAGCACUCUCACCAGUCUACUUGUUGCAUGGCCCCCCUUCUUCUACACUUGAUGAAUACCGAGAACAGAACAUUAAAAACAUCAACUCAAGAUUUUAGCCGGGAAAAGUUGUACACAUGCAGCAUACAAACUUCAACACACAUUUGUCUCAAACACCACUUGAUCUACAGUAGAGAGAGGGAAGUUUCCUCAGCCUGUAGAAUCCAUGCAAUACUAAUCAUAAUAUAUCUCAAUGACGGAAUGAAAAUAAUUGUGCUAUCUACAUCAGAUAAAGAUGUUCUAAUGACUGGUCAUUAACCAGAGAAUCUAUUGGACAAGAUGUUCUAUUGACUGGUCAUUAACCAGAGAAUCUAUUGGACAAGAUGUUCUAUUGACUGGUCAUUAACCAGAGAAUCUAUUGGACAAGAUGUUCUAAUGACUGGUCAUUAACCAGAGAAUCUAUUGGACAAGAUGUUCUAUUGACUGGUCAUUAACCAGAGAAUCUAUUGGACAAGAUGUUCUAUUGACUGGUCAUUAACCAGAGAAUCUAUUGGACAAGAUGUUCUAUUGACUGGUCAUUAACCAGAGAAUCUAUUGGACAAGAUGUUCUAAUGACUGGUCAUUAACCAGAGAAUCUAUUGGACAAGAUGUUCUAAUGACUGGUCAUUAACCAGAGAAUCUAUUGGACAAGAUGUUCUAAUGACUGGUCAUUAACCAGAGAAUCUAUUGGACAAGAUGUUCUAAUGACUGGUCAUUAACCAGAGAAUCUAUUGGACAAGAUGUUCUAUUGACUGGUCAUUAACCAGAGAAUCUAUUGGACAAGAUGUUCUAAUGACUGGUCAUUAACCAGAGAAUCUAUUGGACAAGAUGUUCUAUUGACUGGUCAUUAACCAGAGAAUCUAUUGGACAAGAUGUUCUAAUGACUGGUCAUUAACCAGAGAAUCUAUUGGACAAGAUGUUCUAUUGACUGGUCAUUAACCAGAGAAUCUAUUGGACAAGAUGUUCUAUUGACUGGUCAUUAACCAGAGAAUCUAUUGGACAAGAUGUUCUAAUGACUGGUCAUUAACCAGAGAAUCUAUUGGACAAGAUGUUCUAAUGACUGGUCAUUAACCAGAGAAUCUAUUGGACAAGAUGUUCUAAUGACUGGUUAUUAACCAGAGAAUCUAUUGGACAAGAUGUUCUAAUGACUGGUCAUUAACCAGAGAAUCUAUUGGACAAGAUGUUCUAAUGACUGGUCAUUAACCAGAGGCUCUCUUGGACAAGAUGUUCUCAUGACUGAAGUCUUUAACCAGACAAUGACCUUCCUUCUAUUCAAUUAGGAACAGAGGGGGAAGCUGUUUCACCAUUGCCACUCAUGUUACAAAUGAACGGGUGUAGAAAUACAGAUGGUGAAACAUAUACAUCCACCGGGCUAUAGGGGUUAAUACUUAUCAGCAGACACCGUCACAUACACACAGUCGCUCGGUCACAUUCACACACGCACCCACACACUCCUAGGCACAUGCACACAAACAGACGUGCGUACACAGACAGAGAGACAACAGACACACACGCAAACUCAAACCUCAGCUAGCCCCUUGCAUCAACAUCAUGUGGCCUGUCCUCUUAGAAAAAAUGAGAAAAAUGAGUGUCUAUAUUUUAGUGACCAGAGGCAAUCAACACAUGGAACUCAAUACAUAAUAACUCAAUGGGAGUUAAGUCAGAUAAAAAAGCUAGUUAUCACCCAAUUGGAUGUGCAUGGAGGAGACACUGGCCUGGUUGUGAAUGACUGGUAAUUCUUGUUAGUUUUGGUCUUCUGCAAAGCACACACACACGCCUCCCCUCAACUGCUGCAGAAAGUGGAGCCGCCUGUAACAUUAGCUUGUAAAAGUUUCAGUCAUGACAAAACUCUCAAUCUCACCGUUUGUUUGACUGUCAGAGGGAGCAAGGCGAGCUGCACAUACCAAAGAUGGUCUACCUAUUAACUCAGGUUUGAUGAUCACUAGUUUCCCCUUUCAUCUCUGGCGCUGCUUUCCUGUGCUCGUCUACAAGUGCUGCGCUAUAUAUGGGCUGCUUAAUUAGCCAUAUAUACUGAUAGAGUGUAAAUAAUUGUUUUACUGUGAUUAAGUGUAAGUGGAGUUAGAUUGAGUGGAGACUGGUGGGAGGAGCUAUAGGAGGAUGGGCUCAUUGUAAUGGCUGGAAUGAAAUUAAUGGAAUGGAGUCAAAC